GGCAGCAGGACUGCAGGCCUCACAAGGCAGCCAGGUUUCAGGGCAACAGGGUGGCAAUGCUGGAAGCCUCCCAGGGCUUCAGGCCUCCCUGGGCAGCAGGGCUGCAGGUAUGGCACCACGGCAGGGCUACAGGGCAGCAGGGUGGCAGAGCUGCAUGCCUCCCAGGGUAGCAGGGCUACAGGCAUUGAAGAGCAGCAGGGUAGCAGGGCGGCAGGUCUGCCAGCCUCACAGGGCAGCCGGGGUUCAGGGCAGCAGGGCGCCAGGGCUGUAGGCCUCGCAGGGACGCCGGGCUUCAGGGCAACAGGGCGGCAAUGCUGCAAGCCUCCCAAGGUGGCAGGGCUGCAGGCCUCUCAGGGAAGCCGGGGUGCAGGGCAGCAGGGCGACAGGGAUGCAGGCCUCCUAAGGUGGCAGGUCUGCAGGGCAACUGGGCCAUAGGGCUGCAAGUCUCCCAGGGCAGCAGGGCUGCAGCCUUCACAGGGCGUCAGGGNGGCAGUAAUGAAGGCCUCUGAGGGAGGCAUGGCUGAGGUCUCGCAGGACGGCCGGGUAGCAGGGCAACAGAGUGGCAGGGCUGCAGUCCUCGUAGGGAAGCAGGGCUGUAGGGCAACAGGGUGGCAGGACUGCAGGCCUCCCAGUGCGGCAGGGGUGCGGGCCUCCCAGGGCGUUGGGGUGCAGGCCUCACAGGAUGGAAAGGCUGUAGGGCUCCCAGUGUGCAAGGCUUGCAGGCCUCACAGGGCGGAGGGCUGCCUGGCAUCAGGCAGGGUGGCAGGGCAGCAGGAUGGCAGAGCUCUAUGCCUCCCAGGCUAGCAGGGCUGCAGGCAUGGAAGGGCGGCAAGGCAGCAGGGCGGCAGAUCUGUCGGCCUCACAGGGCGGCCGGGGUGCAGGGCAGCAGGGUGGCAGGGCUGCAGGCUUCAAAUGGUGGCCGGGUGGCAAGGCAACAGAGUGGCAGGGCUGCAGUCCUCGUCGGGCAACAGGGCUGCAGGCAUCGAAGAGCUGGAGGGCAGCAGGGCUGCAGUCCUCACAUUCAGCCAGGCUUCAGGGCAACAGGCCGGUAAUGCUGCAAGCCUUCCAGGGUGGCAGGGCUUCAGGCCUCCGUGGGCAGCAGGGCAGCAGUGCUACAGGCCUCCCAGGGCUGCAGGGCUCA
This 1141-nucleotide long non-coding RNA is filed under the name Vulpes vulpes (red fox). RNAcentral describes it as "lncRNA (ENSVVUG00000024433.1)". Lineage: Eukaryota; Metazoa; Chordata; Mammalia; Carnivora; Canidae. The record is from RNAcentral.